AUGGUUCAAACAAAUAGGCACACACAUUUUCAAUUAGUAUAUCGUCUCAUUGAAUUGGCCUUGAUUCUGCCUGUCGCUACAUCAACCGUAGAAAGAGCUUUCUCAGCUAUGAGCAUUGUCAAAACUGAGUUGCGGAACAAGAUGAAUGAUGAAUGGAUGAAUCAUCAUAUGGUGUGCUGUAUUGAGUGUGAUGUAUUUGCAAGCUUUGAUGAUAUUGAGAUUAUACAAUGCUAUCAAGAAAUGAGAAAACGCAAGGGGCUACUACCUCGUGCACUUCGUGACAAUGGUAUUUUUUUCUCAAAAUAUCAUACGAACAAUUGA
RNAcentral lists this ribosomal RNA (321 nucleotides) under Triticum aestivum (bread wheat). RNAcentral's name for it is "partial small subunit ribosomal RNA". Lineage: Eukaryota; Viridiplantae; Streptophyta; Magnoliopsida; Poales; Poaceae. The record is from RNAcentral.